UACGUAGGGCGCAAGCGUUGUCCGGAAUUAUUGGGCGUAAAGAGCUCGUAGGUGGCUUGUCGCGUCUGCCGUGAAAGCCCGUGGCUUAACUUCGGGUCUGCGGUGGAUACGGGCAGGCUAGAGGCUGGUAGGGGCAAGCGGAAUUCCUGGUGUAGCGGUGAAAUGCGCAGAUAUCAGGAGGAACACCAAUGGCGAAGGCAGCUCUCUGGGACGGUACUGACGCUGAGACGCGAAAGCGUGGGGAGCGAACAGG
RNAcentral lists this ribosomal RNA (253 nucleotides) under uncultured bacterium. RNAcentral describes it as "partial 16S ribosomal RNA". It matches the Rfam family "Bacterial small subunit ribosomal RNA", at positions 524 to 776 of the family's 1533-position model. The record is from RNAcentral.